Molecule: ribosomal RNA, 479 nt
Filed under: uncultured bacterium
Lineage: Bacteria
Description: partial 16S ribosomal RNA
Rfam family: Bacterial small subunit ribosomal RNA
Source: RNAcentral
GACGAACGCUAGCGGGAGGCCUAACACAUGCAAGCCGAGGGGUAUGAUUCUUUCUGGGUUCGGAGAUCGGCGCACGGACGCGUAACUCGUAUGUAACUUACCUCAUUCACUGUGUUAGACCUCCGCAAGGAGGAUUAAUACCGGCCAACACUAAUCUGGUCAUCCACUUUGGUUGUAAGAUUUAUCGGACUGGGAUAGACAUGCGUCCGAUUAGCUAGUUGGUGAGGUAACGGCUCACCAAGCCGAUGAUCUGUAGGGGGCCUGCGGGGGUGCGCCCUCACAGUGGUACUGAGAAACUGGCCAGAGUCAUACGGGAGGCAGCACUAAGGGAUAUUGGACAGUGGAAGAGAGCCUGAUCCAGGCAACCCGCGUGCAGGAAGGCGGCGCGAUGGGUGGUAACCUGCUUUUGGAUGGGAAUAAACCACCGUGCGCGUGGGGUGUUGAAGGUACCAGACGAAUAAGCACCGGCUAACUACGUG